Molecule: ribosomal RNA, 484 nt
Filed under: uncultured bacterium
Lineage: Bacteria
Description: bacterial SSU rRNA
Rfam family: Bacterial small subunit ribosomal RNA
Source: RNAcentral
UGAACGCUAGCGGCAGGCUUAAUACAUGCAAGUCGUGGGGCAGCAUGAGUAGCAAUACUUGAUGGCGACCGGCAAACGGGUGAGGAACACGUACACAACCUUCCUUCAAGCGGGGAAUAGCCCAGAGAAAUUUGGAUUAGUACCCCAUAAUAUAUUUGAUAAGGCAUCUUAUUAAUAUUAAAGCUUCGGCACUUGAUGAUGGGUGUGCGGCUGAUUAGAUAGUUGGCGGGGUAACGGCCCACCAAGUCUACGAUCAGUAGCUGAUGUGAGAGCAUGAUCAGCCACACGGGCACUGAGACACGGGCCCGACUCCUACGGGAGGCAGCAGUAAGGAAUAUUGGACAAUGGACGAAAGUCUGAUCCAGCCAUGCCCGCGUGAAGGAUUAAGGUCCUCUGGAUUGUAAACUUCUUUUAUAUGGGACGAAAAAAGGGCAUUCUUGUUCACUUGACGGUACCAUAUGAAUAAGCACCGGCUAACUCCGUG